This 328-nucleotide long non-coding RNA is filed under the name Homo sapiens (human). RNAcentral describes it as "HSALNT0274272". The record is from RNAcentral. Lineage: Eukaryota; Metazoa; Chordata; Mammalia; Primates; Hominidae.
UUUGGAAGAGUCCCUAUUCUGUACAGCCACGCACUGAGGUUCAUUCUUCGGGGUCUUUGACACGCUCUGGCAACAAGCGCGGAGAGGCAAGAGCACAAGGAAACAAGCAGAAGGAAUUCAGAGAAACAGCUCCAGGCUCCAGCUCAAAGGCCGACACCAAAAGCGAACACCUCUGGGCGCUCUUGCCUUCAAGAAGGUGGGGAGGCUCACAGACGCAGCAUCCACCCCUCGCAGGGAACCUCAGUUCCUGGCCUGUGGUCCCAUGAAGGACAUCAGGCUGGCAGAUUGGAGCACACCCCUUCUUUCUAACCCCUCUUGAAAGCUUCCU